Molecule: long non-coding RNA, 393 nt
Organism: Carassius carassius (crucian carp)
Lineage: Eukaryota; Metazoa; Chordata; Actinopteri; Cypriniformes; Cyprinidae
Exons: 3
Source: RefSeq, a predicted model, not a curated record
CAGCGAUGCAUCCGAAGGACAGGUUUACGCCAAUACUGUUAGCAUGUUGUUUUACUCUUGCGAGUUGUUCGUCUGUGACAUGUAAAGGAUGCCCUGAAUACCAAGAAAUACAGUGUGAGAGCGUGCGCUCGUCCCAUGGAUACACAUACACGUUGCCACCGGGAAUCUUAUCCUAUGUAUACUGCGAACAAGGAUGGUACUAUCAGAAUGGGACGUUUAUUGUCGACUCAACUCCGAAUGCCGAUGGAAACAGGUUACCGGUUGUAGUGGCUGUUACGCCUCACAAUCUGACAGUCCGUGUCUGCGAGAACCUCCAGUGGGAACUUGACUGUGCCAAGGUAGUAGCAAUGAGUGUCUGUUUCAUUUACACACAAUAGAUAAGACUGUCUGUGU